Molecule: long non-coding RNA, 1091 nt
Organism: Rhincodon typus (whale shark)
Lineage: Eukaryota; Metazoa; Chordata; Chondrichthyes; Orectolobiformes; Rhincodontidae
Exons: 4
Source: RefSeq, a predicted model, not a curated record
GUUGCCGCCGCCACUCGGCCAACGGUUCCUCACAUCACAAAACAAGCUCCGCCACCAGUUUCCCUCCCUUCAGCCUCUCACCGCACUGUCACUCACUUCAAUGAAGACCACUUCUUCAAACCACACCAGACCGAACGAUUCAGCAGUACACCAUUUGCGCCGAGCUUUCAUAUUGAAUUUACCCAACUGGCUCACGUCUUUUGCAGGGGUUGCAUCCAGUUAUAUUUACAUCGAGGGGAGCAUCAUGCUGAAUAUUACAGUCCCCAUCACCACUUGUCAGCACCAAAUGCAACAAGGUUCAAAAUGCUAAACCUCCUGACCCAAUGUGAAUGUGAUCAUUAAAUCUUGGAGGUUCAUCAAUCCUCGGAUUCUCCCGGGACUUGGAGGUAACGUUAAAACUCCCAAGUGAAGUCUUCAGGCUGCUUUUGUAGUACUUCCUUUAACUGUCACAUGAGAACACCCCAGGCUCAACUUCUGCAUUGAAGAUUAAUUUUGAUAACUUUUCUGACAGCAUUUCCACUACAGUGAGCACUUGUAGAUUUCAAAGCUGGGACUGAUCAGCGUGUUGAUGCUUGAACCUGAAAUGGCAGAAAACCAAACACAGCAGCGAGAAGCUCCAAAUGACGGCACAUGACAAAACACGAUGCAUUGCUGCAAAUUCAUGAAUUUUUACGGGAGUCUUUCUGAGACAUUCAGGCAGUGCUUGCUGUAGAAGCAUUGGCUGCCUGUAUCAAGAUGGAGCUUAGAGGUAUAUACUGUAUUUCUUGUGUGACUUUAACAAGGCGCAUGUCAUUGCCAAUUUCUGACCUUCAUAUUCAACUUUUCUAGACUGUAUAUGCCAUCAAUCUACACUUCUAACUGUGGGAGAGAAAUGUUUUAAAUGAUUUUCUAUUGUAUAAAUGUGAAUCCCAGCACUUCCAGUGAUUACCACAGAAUACGUGGUAGAUGUGAGAGUAAAAGCAUACUCCAGAAAUUCAAAUAAGGUCUGAGAUCAAGGUCAUGAAUACAUGGUGCCUUCAUUAUUUUUAUAACUUCUUAUAAUCUGGCAAAAAGUGCAUCAAUCCAUUGCACAAGUGCUAAUAAAUAUAUAU